RNAcentral lists this long non-coding RNA (1341 nucleotides) under Equus asinus (donkey). RNAcentral's name for it is "lncRNA (ENSEASG00005027777.1, ENSEASG00020001512.1)". Lineage: Eukaryota; Metazoa; Chordata; Mammalia; Perissodactyla; Equidae. The record is from RNAcentral.
GCUUUGCUCGUGUUUGCUUUUUCUGAGCAGCGCCCAGGACUUCUGCUUUGGUGCGUCCAAAUUCCUAAUGGGCCAAGUGCCCCAAUUAGAGAUGAUUUUGUGAACAUGUGCAGCUCCUGAGAUCUGAUGCAAGGAUGAUUCAGGAGAAGCCUUGGUGUCCUUCAGCUGGUGGUGGGCAAGUGACCUGGUGGCCGGCGUGCUUGCUCUGGGCUCAGAGGGGCUUUGCUUGGGAGGAGGGACUGUCACAGUACUCCAAGCCCCUCCCCCAGUUGGAUCUUCUGAACUGUUAAGAAAAAGAGAAAUAAACCCAAAAUGGCCUGCAAGACAGCAACCAAGACUUAAUUAUAGUUUCAGCCCCUCCUAGAAUCGUGACCCUGAAACAAUAAUCUGAAAUUCCUGUUGCCCUGUGAGAAACUUCCCAUUUCGCACAACCCCUCGACCUGGAAUGGAACGUCCUUCAGUUGUUAGACCGGAUGCUGUCCCCAUUCGUGAAUCACCUAAUAAAGCCAAUUAGAUCUUCAAAUUUACUCUCGGUAGAAUUUUGGGUUUUAACAGAACACAGCAGGCCUUCAAAGGGACUUGUUUGCUGGGUAAUGCCUGUUCACCGAGUGGAUCCCGGGCAGGGGGAGCCAGUGGUGCUGUACAGGACCGGCCUGUUCACAUCAAUGUAUGGUUGCUGGUGUUCAAGCGCUGGGAGACGAGUACCUGGGGGUUAUUACGUCAUUCUCUCUACUUGGAAUAUGCUUCAAAUUUCCAAAGUUAAAAAUUGGGUUUUGUUUUUUUUUUCCAAUGGAAGAGACAUUUUUUGUGGACCAGAGACCUGAGAGAGAAGCAGAAAGAAGUGUUCAGCAACGUGCUGGGGGCCCGCAUCCUAGGAAUGAAUCAUGCCAGUGAUUGGUUUGGGGUGGCCAUGUGACCCAGGUCUGGCCAGUGAAAUGGAAGGGAAAGUCUUUGGGGUAGAGCUGGACCACUGGGAAAUAUUUUCCUCUCUGACAAACUAAAGAGUGACGUUAGGAGAAGACUUUCUUUGCUUCAUGUUUUGCAUGCUGUCAUGUGUUUUCAAGCACCCAUGGCCUCUUUUUUCUCUCUAAUCUUACCUUCUAUGACAUUCCUCCUCCAUCACACCAAUCCAGCUACUGGUCUCCUUGCUUUCCUAGAACAUACUAAGAACACACCUACCUCAGGGCCUUUGCACUUGCUAUUCCCCCCCACCUAGAACACCCUUCCUCCAGAUCUUCACUGGAUUUUUCUUUCACAUCUUCAGGUCUUUGUUCAAAUAUCAGCUUCUCAGUGAGGAUAUUUUAAAAAUAUCCUUAUCCUUCUCAUUACCUUUAUUCUUUU